AUGAACGCUGGCGGCGUGCCUAAUACAUGCAAGUCGAGCGAACGGACGAGAAGCUUGCUUCUCUGAUGUUAGCGGCGGACGGGUGAGUAACACGUGGAUAACCUACCUAUAAGACUGGGAUAACUUCGGGAAACCGGAGCUAAUACCGGAUGAUAUUUUGAACCGCAUGGUUCAAAAGUGAAAGACGGACUUGCUGUCACUUAUAGAUGGAUCCGCGCUGCAUUAGCUAGUUGGUAAGGUAACGGCUUACCAAGGCAACGAUGCAUAGCCGACCUGAGAGGGUGAUCGGCCACACUGGAACUGAGACACGGUCCAGACUCCUACGGGAGGCAGCAGUAGGGAAUCUUCCGCAAUGGGCGAAAGCCUGACGGAGCAACGCCGCGUGAGUGAUGAAGGUCUUCGGAUCGUAAAACUCUGUUAUUAGGGAAGAACAUAUGUGUAAGUAACUGUGCACAUCUUGACGGUACCUAAUCAGAAAGCCACGGCUAACUACGUG
RNAcentral lists this ribosomal RNA (496 nucleotides) under uncultured bacterium. RNAcentral's name for it is "partial 16S ribosomal RNA". It matches the Rfam family "Bacterial small subunit ribosomal RNA", at positions 29 to 507 of the family's 1533-position model. The record is from RNAcentral.